RNAcentral lists this unclassified non-coding RNA (268 nucleotides) under Hevea brasiliensis (rubber tree). The record is from RNAcentral. Lineage: Eukaryota; Viridiplantae; Streptophyta; Magnoliopsida; Malpighiales; Euphorbiaceae.
CUAGGAAAAUUUUUGAUGAGAUAGACACCCAUGAUGUGGUUUCUUGGAACACCAUGAUUGCAGGCUAUACACACUGUCGAAGAAUGGAUGAAGCUGUCCAUUUAUUCAAAAAGAUGGUCGUUAAGGACAUAGUGUCAUGGAACAUUAUGAUUACUGCUUAUGCUCAAAUGGGACAAAUGGACAGGGCUCUGAAGAUCUUUGAAGAGAUGGGGGAGAGGAAUUUAGUUUCCUGGAAUUCUUUAAUUUCCGGUUUCAUGUUAAAUGGGCU